GCGGAGAUAAGAGGAGUAUUGUACAAAUUUUAUAUCAGCGGCGGACGGGUGAGUAACACGUGAGUAACCUGCCUUUCACUGGGGAAUAACAUCGAGAAAUCGGUGCUAAUACCGCAUAACGUCAUGAGACCGCAUGGUUUUAUGACCAAAGGAGUAAUCCGGUGAAAGAUGGACUCGCGUCCGAUUAGAUAGUUGGUGAGGUAAUGGCCCACCAAGUCUGCGAUCGGUAGCCGAACUGAGAGGUUGAUCGGCCACAUUGGGACUGAGACACGGCCCAGACUCCUACGGGAGGCAGCAGUGGGGAAUACUGGGCAAUGGGCGAAAGCCUGACCCAGCAACGCCGCGUGAAGGAAGAAGGUCUUCGGAUUGUAAACUUCUUUGAUCAGGGACGAAUAAAUGACGGUACCCUUGGAGGAAGCCCCGGCUAACUACGUGCCAGCAGCCGCGGUAAUACGUAGGGGGCGAGCGUUAUCCGGAAUUACUGGGUGUAAAGGGCGCGUAAGCGGGAAUGCAAGUCAGAUGUGAAAUCUCCGGGCUUA
RNAcentral lists this ribosomal RNA (539 nucleotides) under uncultured bacterium. RNAcentral describes it as "bacterial SSU rRNA". It matches the Rfam family "Bacterial small subunit ribosomal RNA", at positions 66 to 611 of the family's 1533-position model. The record is from RNAcentral.